GACGAACGCUGGCGGCGUGCUUAACACAUGCAAGUCGAACGGAAAGGCCCUGCUUUUGUGGGGUGCUCGAGUGGCGAACGGGUGAGUAACACGUGAGUAACCUGCCCUUGACUUUGGGAUAACGUCAGGAAACUGGGGCUAAUACCGGAUAGGAGCUCCUGCUGCAUGGUGGGGGUUGGAUAGUUUCGGCGGUUGGGGAUGGACUCGCGGCUUAUCAGCUUGUUGGUGGGGUAGUGGCUUACCAAGGCUUUGACGGGUAGCCGGCCUGAGAGGGUGACCGGCCACAUUGGGACUGAGAUACGGCCCAGACUCCUACGGGAGGCAGCAGUGGGGAAUAUUGCACAAUGGGCGGAAGCCUGAUGCAGCAACGCCGCGUGCGGGAUGACGGCCUUCGGGUUGUAAACCGCUUUCGCCUGUGACGAAGCGUGAGUGACGGUAAUGGGUAAAGAAGCACCGGCUAACUACGUG
This 468-nucleotide ribosomal RNA is filed under the name uncultured bacterium. Its description in RNAcentral is "partial 16S ribosomal RNA". It matches the Rfam family "Bacterial small subunit ribosomal RNA", at positions 28 to 507 of the family's 1533-position model. The record is from RNAcentral.